Molecule: small RNA, 126 nt
Filed under: Marmota monax (woodchuck)
Lineage: Eukaryota; Metazoa; Chordata; Mammalia; Rodentia; Sciuridae
Source: RNAcentral
GCUGGGCACGGUGGCGCAUGCCUGUAAUUGUAGCAACUCAGGAGGCUGAGGCAGGAGGAUCAUGAGUUCAGAGCCAACCUCAGCAAAAAGCAAGGUGCUAAGCAACUCAGUGAGACCUUCUCUCUA